CAGUAGCCGCGGUAACACGUAGGGUGCGAGCGUUAAUCGGAAUUGCUGGGCGUAAAGCGUGCGCAGGCGGUUGUGUAAGACAGGUGUGAAAUCCCCGGGCUUAACCUGGGAACUGCGCUUGUGACUGCACAGCUAGAGUAUGGCAGAGGGGGGUGGAAUUCCACGUGUAGCAGUGAAAUGCGUAGAGAUGUGGAGGAACACCGAUGGCGAAGGCAGCCCCCUGGGCCAAUACUGACGCUCAUGCACGAAAGCGUGGGGAGCAAACAGGAUUAGAUACCCCUGUAGUCCCUGUCUCUUAUAC
RNAcentral lists this ribosomal RNA (301 nucleotides) under uncultured bacterium. RNAcentral describes it as "partial 16S ribosomal RNA". It matches the Rfam family "Bacterial small subunit ribosomal RNA", at positions 509 to 807 of the family's 1533-position model. The record is from RNAcentral.